Lutra lutra (Eurasian river otter) is the source of this 2515-nucleotide long non-coding RNA. RefSeq lists it as uncharacterized. The transcript has 5 exons. The record is from RefSeq and is a predicted model, not a curated record. Lineage: Eukaryota; Metazoa; Chordata; Mammalia; Carnivora; Mustelidae.
GAUACCCUUGUUCACUGCGGGCCCCUGGUGCUUUCUGCUUCCAGAUGCCCCAGACUGGAUCUGGCUGGCACAGUCCAGCAUGCAAGAGCUCUUGGGAAUAGUUUUCUGAUGGACAGACUGGACAGACAGAUGGACCAACAGAUGGAAGUUUAUCAAGCUUGAGAGAGACCAUCAUGGAGGGCGUGGUCCUACGUCCCACGUAGGCAGGGACAGGUCAUUGACAAACCCAUUUCGAGCUUAUGUCCCUAACUGCUCAGAGGUAUAAGCUUCCCCGUGGGCGAGAUCAGGGGAAGCGCACCAUCCUCAGGAAUUUUGUGGGCACACAAUGACUUAUUUAAAAAUGCGUUGACCAGGACGCAGGGGUGGCUCAGACAGUUUGGCGUCCAACUCUGGAUCUCAUCUCGGGCCUCCAUCUCAAAGUCGUGAGUUUGAGCCUGUGUUGGGCUCCACGCUGGGCAUUGAGUCUACUUUAAAAAAUAAUAAUAAAUAAAAAUUAAAAAAUAAAUACAUACAAUAAAAUGCAGUAAAAUAAAAAUGCAUGGACCAUCGACGAUUUGCCCACAUCAGACCCCAUAGUGCAUGUUCCGUGCCCCUGGGCCCUCCAGCUCCCAGCUUCCUCUCCCUCCAUCCUGGGUCCUGGCAGUGCAGAGGCUGCCCUUCUUCCAUUCCGGAGUUCAGUAGCCACGAAGCCCAGGGUCAGUAGGAGAUGAUGGAAAGACUGAUCAGCUCGUGUCCGAGCCCACCUCCCCAGAGGGUCUGCAUUUCAGGUCAAGUACUACGUCCUUAGCGUUAGCGGCUGGCCCAUGGCCAGCACAGAAGCCACUCCUGUCCUUAAAACUUCUGAAGUUUCGUGGAGCAGGGAUACAGAUUUUUAAAAGUUGAACUGGCAUUCCUCUAGAGGGGGAAAACAACCAAAAAACAAAAAAAAAUCUUCCCUUUUCUUCAUGUGUGAGUAAAUAAACCAAACGAAAGAAAAGUCCCGAACUUUGCAUUAGUCACCCUAUUUAAGCUCUCGUUGUCUUGCGUAACAAAUGAAUAACUUUGUCACUUCCGUGAGCCGUAUUCAGCUCUCUUCUUAGGGGUUAAUUGGGACAGGUUGCCAGAGCUCCAGAGAACGUCCGAGAACACACGGGACCCUGUCGCCCACUCUGCUCAUGUAAUCCUGCCUCAGGAGUUGAGGAAAUUAGGGCUUUUGCUCGUGUCAGGCUAAAUGAGAGCACCGAUUAGUAUCUUGAGCAAUGCUAAUAAAAUGAGGCCAGUGAUUCCAUUUGCUGUCUCAUAUAUGAAAUGAUUCUGUUUACACGGGUCUAUUUUUACCAGGUCCUUUACCUUGGCGUGCAUAAAGUGAGUUUCUAGAUGGCAAACUUCCCCUAUUUGUUGUGGUUGAGAAAAUACAGAAUGAGGGACACGGCAAUAAAUGGAAGAAGUUUCUGGUUUAGGAAUCGAAAGAUGGGCGUUCGGAUCCUGACUUUUGCUAUUUACCUGCAGGCUCCGUAUCCGGAGUGGACACCCGGCCCGUUUGCUGGCAUGGCCCCCCAUGUCCCUGUCUUCAGGGAGCAACAGCUUUUUCCCACCCAGGCACCGGGCUUUCCCGGGGGCUGAUCCCACAGCCCUGCCCUCAGGAGCACAGGGGCCAGGCCAGGACAUUCAGAGUCAUGACGAGUAGCUCCAGACUGGACAUGCCAGGAUUGAUGACUCCAGCAGACAUUCUAGAGGCCAUGGAGCAUUUUGGGAAGUGCACUCAUUCUGGCUCACACUCAAAAUAUUCAAGGACCGAAAAGAGGCAGCAUGUUUUCAAAUCUUGCCAACCCUGCAUCAUGGGAGUGGUGGCCUUGCUGUCAUCGGGGGCCGUCCGAGUCGUCCAGCGGGGCUGGUGGAUGGACUGACUGCUCUCACUGGGGAGCGUUCGCUGAAGACGCCUUGCUGCUGGGCUCAUUUGGGAGGAUUUCAGUCCCACGCGAAGGGACCUUCAGCCACUCGCCCAGACCUGAGUCCCUAGACCCUCGGGCACUGUGAAAAGCAGUAGUUUUGGAACGAGAGGGACCCAGCCUUGAAGCAUGGGCCUCCUGCCCCCGGUGACUGGCCUCUGCAAGUCGUGCUGCCUUUCAGCUUCAGCUCACUCAUCGGGCACCUUCCUUGUAUGCAUUGGGCACGUAGGACUCCUGAUUGCAAGUGACAGAAGAGCCAGCCCGGAUCGUCCUCAGCACACGCCGAAGGCACUGACUCAUGUAGGCUGCAAAGCGCCGUGUAGGACUCGUUUCGGGCAGGGCUGUGAGUGAACUUCAGCAUGUUCAGGACUCAUUUCCACUUCAGUAGGCAGUUCGGUUUCUUUUUUCAUCUUUGACUGAGUGGGCUUCUGUCUUGAGUAGAGGGUUUUAGAAUGGUGGCCAUACCCCCUUCUCUGGUUCCCAGGGCAUCUUCAGCCGCCCCUCACUGGCCGUCAGCUUUCUGGCAGAUCAAGUGUAGCAGGAAAGGGUAAAGGCCAUUUCUACCAUGUUCGGGCCUCGCUUGACCU